Molecule: small nuclear RNA, 107 nt
Filed under: Microtus ochrogaster (prairie vole)
Lineage: Eukaryota; Metazoa; Chordata; Mammalia; Rodentia; Cricetidae
Source: RNAcentral
GUGCUCGCUUCGGCAGCACGUAUACUAAGACUGGAACGAUACAGAGAAGAUUAGCAUGGCCCCUGUGCAAGGAUGACAUGCAAAUUCGUGAAGCGUUCUAUAUUUUU